CAAGUCGAGGGGUAACAGGGAUUGCUUGCAAUCCGCUGACGACCGGCGCACGGGUGCGUAACGCGUAUACAAUCUACCUUGUACUGAGGGAUAGCCCAGAGAAAUUUGGAUUAAUACCUCAUAGUAUUAUAUCUCGGCAUCGAGUUUAUAAUUAAAGAUUACGGUAUAAGAUGGGUAUGCGUCCUAUUAGUUAGUUGGUAAGGUAACGGCUUACCAAGACAACGAUAGGUAGGGGCCCUGAGAGGGGGAUCCCCCACACUGGUACUGAGACACGGACCAGACUCCUACGGGAGGCAGCAGUGAGGAAUAUUGGACAAUGGGCGAGAGCCUGAUCCAGCCAUGCCGCGUGCAGGAAGACGGCCCUAUGGGUUGUAAACUGCCUUUUUACGGGAAGAAACACUCCCUCGUGAGGGAAUUUGACGGUACCGUACGAAUAAGGACCGGCUAACUCCGUGCCAGCAGCCGCGGUAAUACGGAGGGUCCGAGCGUUAUCCGGAAUCAUUGGGUUUAAAGGGUCCGUAGGCGGGCAGCUCAGUCAGUGGUGAAAGUCUGCAGCUCAACUGUAGAAUUGCCAUUGAUACUGGUUGUCUUGAAUUAUUAUGAAGUGGUUAGAAUAUGUAGUGUAGCGGUGAAAUGCAUAGAUAUUACAUAGAAUACCAAUUGCGAAAGCAGA
Molecule: ribosomal RNA, 673 nt
Filed under: uncultured bacterium
Lineage: Bacteria
Description: bacterial SSU rRNA
Rfam family: Bacterial small subunit ribosomal RNA
Source: RNAcentral